This 301-nucleotide ribosomal RNA is filed under the name uncultured bacterium. RNAcentral describes it as "partial 16S ribosomal RNA". It matches the Rfam family "Bacterial small subunit ribosomal RNA", at positions 509 to 807 of the family's 1533-position model. The record is from RNAcentral.
CAGUCGCCACGGUAAUACGUAGGUGGCAAGCGUUGUCCGGAAUUAUUGGGCGUAAAGGGCGCGUAGGCGGACUGAUAAGUCAGGGGUGAAAUCCCAAGGUUCAACCUUGGAACUGCCUUUGAUACUGUUUGUCUUGAGUUCGAGAGAGGUAAGUGGAACUGCGAGUGUAGAGGUGAAAUUCGUAGAUAUUCGCAAGAACACCAGUGGCGAAGGCGGCUUACUGGCUCGAUACUGACGCUGAGGCGCGAAAGCGUGGGGAGCGAACAGGAUUAGAUACCCCGGUAGUCCCUGUCUCUUAUAC